RNAcentral lists this ribosomal RNA (251 nucleotides) under uncultured bacterium. RNAcentral's name for it is "partial 16S ribosomal RNA". It matches the Rfam family "Bacterial small subunit ribosomal RNA", at positions 85 to 339 of the family's 1533-position model. The record is from RNAcentral.
CUGAUGGCGAGUGGCGAACGGGUGAGUAAUGCAUCGGAACGUGCCCAAUCGUGGGGGAUAACGCAGCGAAAGCUGUGCUAAUACCGCAUACGAUCUACGGAUGAAAGCGGGGGAUCUUCGGACCUCGCGCUAUUGGAAGAGCUUGCGUUAGAUUAGCUAGUUGGUGGGGUAAAGGCUCACCAAGGCGACGAUCUAUAGCUGGUCUGAGAGGACGAUCAGCCACACUGGAACUGAGACACGGUCCAGACUCC